Molecule: long non-coding RNA, 1053 nt
Organism: Ruditapes philippinarum (Manila clam)
Lineage: Eukaryota; Metazoa; Mollusca; Bivalvia; Venerida; Veneridae
Exons: 2
Source: RefSeq, a predicted model, not a curated record
UAAUAAUAAAUUAACAUUUUCAGAAAAAACUUUCCGCUUUUUUGAUUUACCUUAUCUAAGUAAAGAACUAACUUAUACGUGUAUGGUUAUUCUCUCAAUUUCAAGGCAUGUUAUUUGGUUCUUUAGAUCUCAAAAAGUGUAUAAUAAGAGAAGUGCAACUAAACGAGUUACUUUGGAUAAAUUUUUCUCAUUGUUAAGAUUAAGAAUUAUCUUAGAUUUUAAAAGAUUGUCGUCUUUAGAUUUUAUUAAUUGUUGGAGUCAACAUGAUAUUUGCACUUUAAACGCGGAUGAUGUAUCUUUUAACAAAAACCUAUAUACUGAGCACUAUACUAAAUUUCUGUAAAACAUAUAUUUCAGUCUAUUAUUGUAUAUAUUUCAGGUGUAUAAUUGGGUAGUAUAACGGAACAGUACUUUGUUUUUUCAUAUAUAGUUGGUUAAAGAACAGUGUCUUUUUAUGUGGAAAUUAUGUCUUCUUUAUUAAGAUUGGAGUUUGUUUAAAACGGAAAACUACAUGAACUAUGUGAAUCAGUAAUUUAUUUUUGAUUUUGAUUCUUAUCACUUUGUUUUGAUAAAGAUGUUUUUAGAUUUUAAAAUCUCCUGUUCAUUUUCGCAAUUUCCCGGGAUGAAUGUUUUUGUUCCGACAUACUUCGCGGGGUGUUGCGAUCAUGUUACCGGAGUUUCUUUUUCAAAAAAUACAUAAACAACUCCAAUAGAUCUUUCUGUGUUUUAUUGUAAACAUGACCAUUAAUUAAUUAUUAAUUUAUAUAUUUGUAUUGUUUUCUCGCACAAGUGUUUAUUAUCACUAUGGACUAUGAACAUUUCGAUCAUCAUGGACAUUGGAAACAUCAUGGACUAUGAACUUUCAGUGAAUUGUGUGAACAUUUAGUGAAUUGUGUGAACAUUUAGUGAAUUACUUUUUAUGAUAAGUGCGAGCGCGUUAAGUGUUUAAUAUUAAUUCUCUUAUAAAUGGUCAUGUCCCCUUGUGCUUUACACAUGGGGUUUUUAUUUGUACAUAUAUAUAUGAAAUAAAAUUUUAUGAAAAACAAAAAAAAA